AUUGAACGCUGGCGGCAGGCCUAACACAUGCAAGUCGAACGGUAGCACAGAGAGCUUGCUCUCGGGUGACGAGUGGCGGACGGGUGAGUAAUGUCUGGGAAACUGCCCGAUGGAGGGGGAUAACUACUGGAAACGGUAGCUAAUACCGCAUAACGUCGCAAGACCAAAGUGGGGGACCUUCGGGCCUCACACCAUCGGAUGUGCCCAGAUGGGAUUAGCUAGUAGGUGGGGUAAUGGCUCACCUAGGCGACGAUACCUAGCGGGUCUGAGAGGAUGACCAGCCAACCUGGAACUGAGACACGGUCCAGACUCCUACGGGAGGCAGCAGUGUGGAAUAUUGCACAAUGGGCGCAAGCCUGAUGCAGCCAUGCCGCGUGUAUGAAGAAGGCCUUCGGGUUGUAAAGUACUUUCAGCGGGGAGGAAGGCGGUGAAGUUAAUAACUUCACCGAUUGACGUUACCCGCAGAAGAAGCACCGGCUAACUCCGUGCCAGCCGCCGCGGUAA
RNAcentral lists this ribosomal RNA (504 nucleotides) under uncultured bacterium. RNAcentral describes it as "partial 16S ribosomal RNA". It matches the Rfam family "Bacterial small subunit ribosomal RNA", at positions 30 to 523 of the family's 1533-position model. The record is from RNAcentral.